UACGUAGGUGGCGAGCGUUGUCCGGAAUUACUGGGCGUAAAGGGCUCGUAGGCGGCCAACUAAGUCAGACGUGAAAUCCCUCGGCUUAACCGGGGAACUGCGUCUGAUACUGGAUGGCUUGAGUUUGGGAGAGGGAUGCGGAAUUCCAGGUGUAGCGGUGAAAUGCGUAGAUAUCUGGAGGAACACCGGUGGCGAAGGCGGCAUCCUGGACCAACACUGACGCUGAGUGAGCGAAAGCCAGGGGAGCAAACGGG
Molecule: ribosomal RNA, 254 nt
Filed under: uncultured bacterium
Lineage: Bacteria
Description: partial 16S ribosomal RNA
Rfam family: Bacterial small subunit ribosomal RNA
Source: RNAcentral